This 490-nucleotide long non-coding RNA is filed under the name Dermacentor andersoni. Its description in RNAcentral is "uncharacterized LOC126544334". Lineage: Eukaryota; Metazoa; Arthropoda; Arachnida; Ixodida; Ixodidae. The record is from RNAcentral.
UUGAAUAUUGGGGAUUUGACUAUUUUCAUACUUGUUUUCCAGGUCAACCAGAUUUUGGGGCAGCUUGACCCUCCCGGCAGAAUUCUUUUGAAAGCCAUUGAAAUCAACAGAAGCGGGCCGGUCGACUAUGUGGCCGUCAUGGAAAACAAUAUUGUCGACGCUCCAGGCACACUUGGGAAUUUGGAAAAAUAUUCCAAGACGAAGAAAGAAAUGCAGUCUGCCGAUGCGGUCAUCAUUUUAGUAGGGUCUUGCGUAUACAAGAGGAGCUUGCAAUAGACAUGGUGCCAUCGUUGCCGCAGACCUUGGGACGAAAUACACGGGGGCCUUGAGCGUUGCGCAUGAAGUAGGGCAUUUCUUAGGUUCUCCUCAUGACGGUGCAGAAACGACAAAGGAGUGCCCAGCUGAUGGCGGUACCAUAAUGAGCAAACAAGCCGCUGGCGUAAUCCGACCACGGUAUUCAGAAUGUAGCAAACAAGCCAUCAAAGCCUAC